RNAcentral lists this ribosomal RNA (253 nucleotides) under uncultured bacterium. RNAcentral describes it as "partial 16S ribosomal RNA". It matches the Rfam family "Bacterial small subunit ribosomal RNA", at positions 524 to 776 of the family's 1533-position model. The record is from RNAcentral.
UACGUAGGGUCCGAGCGUUGUUCGGAAUUACUGGGCGUAAAGCGCACGUAGGUGGCUUUGUAAGUUAGAGGUGAAAGCCCGGGGCUCAACUCCGGAAUUGCCUUUAAGACUGCAUCGCUAGAACGUCGGAGAGGUAAGUGGAAUUCCGAGUGUAGAGGUGAAAUUCGUAGAUAUUCGGAAGAACACCAGUGGCGAAGGCGACUUACUGGACGACUGUUGACACUGAGGUGCGAAAGCGUGGGGAGCAAACAGG